This is a non-coding RNA of Phalacrocorax carbo (great cormorant), 2880 nucleotides long. NCBI's taxonomy places the organism in Eukaryota, Metazoa, Chordata, Aves, Suliformes, Phalacrocoracidae. The record is from RefSeq and is a predicted model, not a curated record.
UAUGAAAUCUCUGCUCACAUAUGUGACUGCAGUUGAUGACAUUAAAAGGAGCUGAGUCUGGAUCAAUACCUGGAUUGGUAUGCUGUUAGACUGCUCCAAAAGAAGCAAAACAUGUACUGUGAGUAACCAUCUUAGAUUGAAAAAAGAAGAUAAAAACAAAAGUCAUAUUUUCAGGGAUAGAAGCGGUCUGCUGAGAUGCUGCAUUAAAAUACAUGGCACAUACAAAUAAUAUGGGCACAGACUUUUGCCUUCUUGAUUUGCAUACAUUAUUUCCAGUUAAUUUUGGGAAACCUCCCUCAACUUUACUUCAAACUUCCAAGUGAUACAGAUCUCAUCCUCCAUUGCCCACAGGCAGUGUUCCCAAGUAAGUUAAUAGAAAUGAUGAUAAGGGAGGAGUGGAAUUCAGUUGACUAAUAUUUCCUUCAGUCUUGAUGGUCAGGGUGCUGUGCUUUUGUGUGUGGAGGUGGAGGAGGAAGCAAGGGAGAAGUCCUUAUGGCGAACGCUAAAAUGGACAUUCUUAAAUAAAAUUUUGUAAGGCAAAGAUAAUAUUCUAUGAAAUGCUGCAGGGUGCAUGGAGGGGGGAAAAGUUGCUGCACUCCUGAAGAGUUUGAAAAGUAAAUUCUUAUGCAGAAGCUGCAUGACAUAAGAAUUAUAAUUUAUUGCAGCUUACAAUGGUAAGUGAAAUAUUGAAUUUACAAAUUUUUUUUUUCUUUACAAUGGCUAAACUGACCUGAAUGCUGUCCUGUCUGAUCAUUGCUAAUGGAUAAUACUGCAAUAUGUGCUUGUAGUUUUGUACGUACACUUCAGAAUUCUAGUAAGCAUUUGCCUUACCAGAGAGGUUAGUGUAUUUCAAAUCAUUUAACAAAUUUUUGAAUAAACAAGAUGUGGCAGUCAGCUGAUAAUACUUUACUUCCAAUGUUUUUGUGUGCAUGCCAUUUACACUAAUGAAGCAUCAGUACUUCACUGCAGAGGGUGCUGGACAUACAAAUGAAAAACAUGUUAUUUGCCUCCAGAGACCCUACAGUCAUAAUGUAAGAUAAAAAAAAGUAUUAUAAUAAAAACAAAGAACAGAAAGUAUUGUACAAAGCAAUGAUGAUACAAAUCUUUGUAAUAGCAGCAGGGAAAUCUGUGGAGAAGAAACUACUGGUGGGGCUGCAUGGUUGGCUACAGUUGGAACAGUGUCGUUUGCAAAGAUCUUGAAAUUUCAUUCUAAUGCUUUGUUCAAUGACAAUGUGGUAGGGGGUCAAAUGUAGGUUUUUAUUCUCAAUAUAUACUUGUAUUUCUGUUCAUAAUUUUUGUAGAAAACUAGGCAUGACAUAUAUAUUUGUAUUUUUUUGCAUGUGUAUAUAAAUGUUUAUAUAUGCAUAUUUAUAACAAGUGAAGGGUAGAUCGUGUUUACCUGUGGUGUGUUUGGCCGUGGUUGUUGCUUUUGCUGGCUCCUGACUUAGGUUUGUAAGUGCCACCUUUUAUCUUCUCAGGACUUCUCACGCUUUUUACAAGAGAAGAUACAUGCAAACAUUCUCCUGCAUUAUUUUCCAUUUAGUAACUCGGAGUAAGCUAUGCUGUAGAAAGCUCGGUUAUUGGAUUGAUUAUUUAAUCUUUUAAAUUGAAGGUGCUUUUUUUUUUUUUUUCCUUGGUAUUUUAAGUAUUUCCUGUAACUAAACAAGAUACACAAAGCAAUCAUGUGUGGCUGUAAUAGGGAAGGACAACCUUUCUAAUAUACUCUCCUUGGUGUGAGUUACAGUAAGUGAGCCUAGCAGAGAAGGUGAAUAUGCUGUUUGUGCUGGUGCGGUGGACAAAUGUGUAGGUAUUUCAAGCCUGGUGUAUGGUUAACUCUUUCAUUUCCUUCAAUGAAUAAAAUGGGUUGGUUGAUAGCAGUGAACAAGCUGCUAUCAGGAACUUUCUUCUCAUGAAUUGUUAAAAGGUGGAGAUGUGAUACGCUGGAAGCCGCAGUCUUUGUAUCAGGAGUGCUACUUUUAGAAAGGCUGAGUCAACAAACUCAUAAUUCGCAAGCGAUCAGAGGACACAUGUUUUUAACCUUGGUAUGUUUUUUUUUCUUUCAUCCUUUCACAGCUGUCCUCCAGACUGUAAUGUCAUGUUUUACAGGCUAUGUUUAGUUUAUUCAUUAAAGCUCAAAUGUGAACUACGCAGGUCAAGGUAGUCAGGCCAAGUGAGUGGCUAUUAGGGUCUACAGAUACAUCACGUUUGUCUGAAAAUCCCUCAGCUCUUUUGUCACUCUUGUGGUUUGCAGUUUGUCCAGUUCCUUUUGUAUUUAAAGGAGGAGAUAGCAGAUACUCCAAUUUUAGUAAGAGAUUGAGACUAACAGUGUCCACAACUCCCUAAAAGCAGUGUUUCAUUUGGUUAUGUGUAGUCAGGCUGCUAGGCAGAUGGUCUCAGCAAAUAUCAUCAUUGCAAUGAAGAAAAGGCGGUCUUGGAUGGUUCUAUUUAUUUAUUUAUCUAUUUAUUUAUUUAGAGAGCUUUGUGGUUUGGCUCACAGCCAAGGAUGUUUCCUGUUUCUAGUUUUGACUUAUACCCAGUUACUUUUCAGGCUGCAUCCUCGGUUGCACUCUAACUGGAUAGAGUGUGCCAGGCACAUCAAGAACAUUAUUGAUGCUUUCUGGUUGGUGGCCCUCUAGAGGCUUAGCUUCAGUGGAAUUCAAGCCUGAAAAUCCAAAGCCUCAGAAAAUCUGCAUCCUGUGCAAUCUCAUAGAAGCCAGCGCACAGCAAAUUAUAUUUUACGGUGUAUAGUGCAAAAGUCAGGAUAACUACUUCGAGGCAGGCACGCCGGUAUUGGAGUGGACAUAGUGGUAACCUUGGGGAGAAAAUGGCAAAAAGAGUAGCACAACCACUGUCGUCUUUAUCUUAAAAGGAAAAAAAGCA